CCUACGGGAGGCAGCAGUAGGGAAUCUUGCUCAAUGGGGGAAACCCUGAAGCAGCAACGCCGCGUGAAGGAAGAAGGCUUUCGGGUUGUAAACUUCUGUUAAGGGGGAAGAGCAGAAGACGGUACCCCUUGAAUAAGCCACGACUAACUACGGGCCAGCAGCAGCGGUAAUACGUAGGUGGCAAGCGUUGUCCGGAUUUACUGGGUGUAAAGGGCGUGCAGCCGGAGAGACAAGUCAGAUGUGAAAUCCACGGGCUCAACCCGUGAACUGCAUUUGAAACUGUUUACCUUGAGUGUAGGAGAGGUAAGCGGAAUUCCUUGUGUAGCGGUGAAAUGCGUAGAUAUAAGGAAGAACACCAGUGGCGAAGGCGGAUUACUGGACGAUAACUGACGCUGAGGCGCGAAAGCGUGGGGAGCAAACAGGAUUAGAUACCCGGGUAGUC
RNAcentral lists this ribosomal RNA (442 nucleotides) under uncultured bacterium. RNAcentral's name for it is "partial 16S ribosomal RNA". It matches the Rfam family "Bacterial small subunit ribosomal RNA", at positions 338 to 795 of the family's 1533-position model. The record is from RNAcentral.